This 483-nucleotide ribosomal RNA is filed under the name uncultured bacterium. Its description in RNAcentral is "partial 16S ribosomal RNA". The record is from RNAcentral.
GUAGUUAGCCGUGGCUUAUUCGAGGGGUACCGUCUUCUACUCUUCCCCCUUAAAAGAAGUUUACAACCCGAAAGCCUUCUUCCCUCACGCGGCGUUGCUGGGUCAGGCUUGCGCCCAUUGCCCAAUAUUCCCCACUGCUGCCUCCCGUAGGAGUCUGGACCGUGUCUCAGUUCCAGUGUGGCCGAUCAGCCUCUCAGCUCGGCUACCCAUCGCUGACUUGGUGGGCCGUUACCCCGCCAACUAUCUAAUGGGACGCGAACCCCUCCAAUUGCGGAUUGCUCCUUUGACCUCAUCCCGAUGCCGGGUCGUGGUCUUAUGCGGUAUUAGCACUUGUUUCCAGGUGUUAUCCCCCUCAACUGGUCAGGUUGUUCACGCGUUACUCACCCGUUCGCCACUAAGCUAUAUCCGAAAACAUAGCUCCGUUCGACUUGCAUGUGUUAGGCACGCCGCCAGCGUUCGUCCUGAGCCAUAAUCAAACUCUGA